GAUGAACGCUGGCGGCGUGCCUAAUACAUGCAAGUCGAGCGAACAGACGAGGAGCUUGCUCCUCUGACGUUAGCGGCGGACGGGUGAGUAACACGUGGAUAACCUACCUAUAAGACUGGGAUAACUUCGGGAAACCGGAGCUAAUACCGGAUAAUAUAUUGAACCGCAUGGUUCAAUAGUGAAAGACGGUUUUGCUGUCACUUAUAGAUGGAUCCGCGCCGCAUUAGCUAGUUGGUAAGGUAACGGCUACCAAGGCAACGAUGCGUAGCCGACCUGAGAGGGUGAUCGGCCACACUGGAACUGAGACACGGUCCAGACUCCUACGGGAGGCAGCAGUAGGGAAUCUUCCGCAAUGGGCGAAAGCCUGACGGAGCAACGCCGCGUGAGUGAUGAAGGUCUUCGGAUCGUAAAACUCUGUUAUUAGGGAAGAACAAAUGUGUAAGUAACUAUGCACGUCUUGACGGUACCUAAUCAGAAAGCCACGGCUAACUACGUG
This 496-nucleotide ribosomal RNA is filed under the name uncultured bacterium. Its description in RNAcentral is "partial 16S ribosomal RNA". It matches the Rfam family "Bacterial small subunit ribosomal RNA", at positions 28 to 507 of the family's 1533-position model. The record is from RNAcentral.